This 301-nucleotide ribosomal RNA is filed under the name uncultured bacterium. RNAcentral describes it as "bacterial SSU rRNA". It matches the Rfam family "Bacterial small subunit ribosomal RNA", at positions 28 to 334 of the family's 1533-position model. The record is from RNAcentral.
GACGAACGCUGGCGGCGUGCUUAACACAUGCAAGUCGAGCGGAAAGGCCCUUCGGGGUACUCGAGCGGCGAACGGGUGAGUAACACGUGAGUAAUCUGCCCCUGACUUUGGGAUAGCCACCGGAAACGGUGAUUAAUACCGGAUAUGACAUGGACUCGCAUGGGUUUGUGUGGAAAGUUUUUCGGUCAGGGAUGUGCUCGCGGCCUAUCAGCUUGAUGGUGAGGUAAUGGCUCACCAUGGCUUCGACGGGUAGCCGGCCUGAGAGGGUGACCGGUCACACUGGGACUGAGACACGGCCCAG